CCAGACUGCAGCUUCUGCUCUUGACUCUAGAACCCUUUAUCCACCAGUAGACAGUUAGAUUUUUUGAAAAUGUAGACCAGCACCAAGGCUCCACUACUUAUGUGUACAAUUACAUUACAUGUAAUCUGAAGUCCGCACCAGACUCCCCUGUGGCCUGGGAGGCCCUUUGUCAUCUGGUCCCUGCUUCCCUCUGCGGCCUCACCCACCCUCCAACCUCUUGCUCACUAAGCUCCAACUGUGUGGCUUGUGUAUUCUUCCAGCUUAGUGCUUGGGUCCUUCACACUGGCUGGGCCCUUGGUCUCUAAGGCUCUUCCCCAACCUUUGUGUGGCGGCUCCACACUUCCCUUGGGAGGCCUUUCCUGCCUACCUUAUCCAAGGUACCCCCUGACUAUCCUCAUUGCAUCACACUGUUGGCAUUAUAGCCCCCCAUCUCUACUUGAUACGUUCUUGCACAUUUGUUUACUAGCUAAUUCUCUCUCUCCUCUGGAACAGAAGCUCUGUGUGACUACAGACUUAGUCUCCCCUAUUCACCACUGCAUCACCACACCUGGUCAGCACCUCAUCUGUAUGAUGUGACCUACUGCCCAGCAGUUCCCUGGGCCACAUUCACUGGUCUGGAAGGUUCUCUGCUCACUGUUCUGAUCCAAAUGUCUCAGCCAUUCCUUCUCGCCAUUCCUUCUCACCAUUCCCGAUUACAAAAGAUCCUGACUUCCGCCCUGCUAGCAGACUCUCCCUUGCUGGCUUUAAUGAAGCAAGCUGCCAUCCUGGGGAGGGUCAAGUGGCAAAGAAUCGAGGGCGUCCUCUAACCAACAGCCAGGAAGGAACUGAGGAGUUCAGUCCAGCAGGCCAAAAGGAAGUGAAUCCUGUCAACCACCCCGUAAAUGAGCUUGAAAGAUGAUUCCUCAGUCAAGCCUUCACACAAGACCCAAUCCUGGCCAACACCCUGACUGCAGCCUAUGAGAGACCCCAACGCAGAGGCCCAGCUGAGCUGUGCCUGGAUUCCCGACCCACGGAAACUGACAUUGUACAUGAUUGCUGUUUAAGCCACGAAGUUGGUGGUAAUUUGUGAUGCAGCGAUAGAUAACACAUUGGGUGCUUAAUGGAAAAGAAAAACCACUGCGCUGCAAUGUUAACAAGUUCUUCCAAAUCACCCACAUUGGUGAAUAAACAUGUAAAGAAUAGAGACAACCCAACAACUAUUGAUCUUUUUUAUGAUUAAAAAG
RNAcentral lists this long non-coding RNA (1223 nucleotides) under Equus asinus (donkey). RNAcentral describes it as "lncRNA (ENSEASG00005031561.1)". The record is from RNAcentral. Lineage: Eukaryota; Metazoa; Chordata; Mammalia; Perissodactyla; Equidae.